CAUGGGCUCAGCACAAGAAAUACACUUAAGAAAGACUGGUUGCUGCCCUCACCGGAGACAGAUACAAAUAGCAACAACAAGGCUAGAAUCAAGCCAUGAACAAACACAUGGGUCACUGACAAGAAAACUCACCUGGAGGCCAAAUUGUCUCUAAUAACAAGUCCAAGACAUGCAUUCCAGCUGGAAUCCUCUUCCCGGGUGGCUGCUGUUUGUGGCAGGAGCAGAGAAUAGCAGGUGGAGGCACAGGCUCAGUGUGGUGUGAAUCCGGAAAGAUCUGGGGGCAUAUCUGGGAGUGGACUCUGUGAAUUUGCUGCCUCCAAGUGCCGGGCUCUCCAAGAGGCACCAGUAAAGGCUGGGUGCACUCAGAUGGACUUCUCUGUGCCAGAAGGGUACCCAUGUGUGAGCACCUCUCAUCACCUCAAUGGCUUUGUAAGGAGAUAAGAUGGUUACCACUACAAUUCUUUCCAUUUUUAAGAUGGAUAAACUGAGGCUUGAACUGUUCAAGUUCAUAUAGCUAGUAAUGGCAGCAAGAUUCAAAUGCAUGGCUGUCUCACCUCAAAGUCCAUUCUUUUUCCAAAAAGCCAAAUGAGGUGGCAGAGGGGAAUAGCAGAAGGAGAUAUAUGGCUUUGGGGGUGGACGGAGAGGGGUUAGGAGUAGAAGGAGGCAGGCACUGGGCAAAGCGUUAAUUUGGAGAGUCGAGUUAUGUAGAAAACUAUUGACGUGGUGAUACAA
Symphalangus syndactylus (siamang) is the source of this 732-nucleotide long non-coding RNA. RefSeq lists it as uncharacterized. The record is from RefSeq and is a predicted model, not a curated record. NCBI's taxonomy places the organism in Eukaryota, Metazoa, Chordata, Mammalia, Primates, Hylobatidae.